Epinephelus lanceolatus (giant grouper) is the source of this 268-nucleotide non-coding RNA. Lineage: Eukaryota; Metazoa; Chordata; Actinopteri; Perciformes; Serranidae. The record is from RefSeq and is a predicted model, not a curated record.
UCUGACCAGUGUGGAGAGAAGACCACAGGACAGUGACACAGAAAGAGGGUAAAGUUUAUCCUGUGGAGGGAGAGACUGUCUGUCUCAAACAUCAAAUCAGGAUGUUUGUUGUCAUCCUGGUGACCCUGCUGUUCUCCGUGAGAGGCAGCAAUGCUGACACAGGUGUAGAUUGGAGAAGACCAUUCUGUGACAGAGGAUACUGUAUCACUCUUAGUAAAGGAGAAAUAACAGCAGAGGCCGGACUCUGUGUUGUGAUACCGUGUCUUUU